AUGGACUGGGGCUGGAGAGCCCUCUUCCUGGUGGCAGUGGCUACAGGUGUCCACUGCCAGGAGCAGCUGGUGCAGUCUGGGUCUGAGGUGAGGAGACCUGGGUCCACAGUAAAGGUCUCCUGCAAGGCCUCUCGAUACACCUUCACCAGCAACGGUGUCCACUGGGUCCGACAGGCCCCAGGACAAAGGCUUGAAUGGAUAGGGUGGGUUUACACCUCUUUUGAUAUUCCAUACUAUGCACAGAAGUUCCAGGGCAGAGCCACCUUUACCACAGACAAGUCCACAAGCACAGCCUACUUGGAACUGAAGAGCCUGAGAACCGAAGACAUGGCCAUGUAUUACUGUGCAAGUGGCAUAGUAAAGAGCAUCACCCUCAUCCACACUCUGCCCUACAGAAGUCCUAUUGGCAAAGCCCUUCACUAUGUGAUAGAACUAGAGAGCCCUCUACUUGGUGGCAUGGGUCCAGAUGGGAAGAUGCACUCCAGGAUGACUGACAGUGCCCUGAAACUCAACAUGGCCCUGAAGGAUGGAUAG
This is a non-coding RNA of Pteronotus mesoamericanus, 534 nucleotides long. The record is from the annotation of a RefSeq genome assembly. Lineage: Eukaryota; Metazoa; Chordata; Mammalia; Chiroptera; Mormoopidae.